This is a regulatory RNA element of 52 nucleotides. It matches the Rfam family "terC RNA". The record is from Rfam.
CAGGCUGUCCGGGCCCCUCUGGCGAAACCCUUCGCGAUGUCGGACCACCCUG